RNAcentral lists this small nuclear RNA (130 nucleotides) under Sciurus vulgaris (Eurasian red squirrel). RNAcentral describes it as "U1 spliceosomal RNA (ENSSVLG00005000292.1)". It matches the Rfam family "U1 spliceosomal RNA". From Rfam's summary of the family: U1 is a small nuclear RNA (snRNA) component of the spliceosome (involved in pre-mRNA splicing). The record is from RNAcentral. Lineage: Eukaryota; Metazoa; Chordata; Mammalia; Rodentia; Sciuridae.
AUACUCACCUGGCAGGAGAGAUACUACGAUCACCAAGGUGGUUUUCCUGGGCCAGGUUCAUCCAUUGCACUCGGGAUGGGCUGACCCUGGUGAUUUCCCCAAACAUGUUGACCUAGGAACUGAAUUCCUC